Xenopus laevis (African clawed frog) is the source of this 841-nucleotide non-coding RNA. The record is from the annotation of a RefSeq genome assembly. Lineage: Eukaryota; Metazoa; Chordata; Amphibia; Anura; Pipidae.
AGUAUAGGUGACAACAAAUUUCACAUAAAAAAUGUAAACUGUUAGAGAAGUAUUAUUAAAUGAAGGUGGGGGUCAGAAUCUCUGAUUGGCUGUCACAUCUGCAGUAUUUUUGCAUAAUGCACUGUUUAAAAAUGACUAGUGUCAGGUAGAAAUGAAAGACAUCAAGUUCUUGGUAGGGUAAAGAGAAGUACCAAACCAUUCUGUGAAAAUGAGAUUAUUGGUACCAGUAAUUUAUUUAAUAUCAUGGAUAUUGUGUGUAGAAUCACAGGUGCCAGUGCUGACUCCAUCGGUUCAGUAUGUUAACCACGGACAAACUGGUACAUAUAAUUGUAAUGUGGUAGUUAAAAACAAUCAUGCUACGUGGUUCCUCCGUCAGACACCUGGAAAAGCCCCCCAGCUCAUUUUAUACCACCAUCAUACAUACACAGAACCUAAAUAUGGACCAGGAAUGUCAUCCGCUCAUUUUGGUUCCACUAUAAAUGGUGCAGGCACAGAAUAUCAACUAAUUGUAAAAAACACAGACACUCAGGAUACUGAUACCUAUUAUUGUGCUAAAUGGUAUGACAACAUUGGAUUCCACAGUGAUAUACAGCUGUACAAAAACCAAUGAAGGGCUCCUGCUUGCUAAAAUGUGCAAUAAGUUUAAUAAGUAAACAGCAUUUGACUGAGAGAUUGAAAUUCAGUCAGUUAUAUAUACAGUAUGUAGUGUUAGUGGAAAUGAUUACUUAUACGGUGCACAAUAUUCCUCAAGUAACAAUCCUUUCCCAGAAGCAAUUUAAUAAAGUGCUUUCAAUUAUCAUUAUGUUGUUUUCAAGGUUUAAAUUAAUAUUUUGUAUCUUUA